UUUCCGUAGGUGAACCUGCGGAAGGAUCAUUACAGAGUUCUUGCCCUCUGGGUAGACCUCCCACCCUUGUGUAUUUUACCUUUGUUGCUUUGGCGGGCCGCGCCAGCCACUGGCUUCGGCUAGUGAGUGCCCGCCAGAGGACCCAAAACUCUGAAUUUAAUUGUAUUGUCUGAGUACUAUAAAAUAGUUAAAACUUUCAACAACGGAUCUCUUGGUUCUG
This 220-nucleotide unclassified non-coding RNA is filed under the name root metagenome. RNAcentral describes it as "partial contains small subunit ribosomal RNA, internal transcribed spacer 1, and 5.8S ribosomal RNA". The record is from RNAcentral.